CCUCCUUAUACGAUUUAGAACUUAUUUGUUCGUAGUGUCCACACAGAUGAUUGUUAGUUAGUUUUACCCUUUGGGUUAACUAAUUAAUAUGCUCUUUAAAAAUUUGGAAAAGCUGAUAAUAAAAUUCGUAUGAAUGACAUUUGUUAUUUGUACAGAGUUUUCAAAAGUAAAAAAGAAUGAUAGCAGUAUCAUUCAGUGCCAAUUUAAUCUUCGGAUUAAUUGGUAUCUACUUUAGUAUUCAAUAUUAACUUCUGGCGAAGUUAAACUGUCACGAAACAAAGACCCGUUUGGGUUGUAUGGUUAAGUGACUAAGCGUACACGGUGG
Molecule: unclassified non-coding RNA, 325 nt
Filed under: uncultured Gammaproteobacteria bacterium
Lineage: Bacteria; Pseudomonadati; Pseudomonadota; Gammaproteobacteria
Description: partial 16S-23S ribosomal RNA intergenic spacer
Source: RNAcentral